GCCGGAAGUGAGUGUGUCCGCGAGCGGCGGCGGAGUCUGGCUGCUGACGUCCAGAAACCGAAGCUGGACAGGUUGUGACUUGACCAAGGUCACACAGAUAGGAAGUGGCAGAGGUAUAUUGAAACUUUUGUCCUCUGACUCCAAACCCAGUCUGGAUCUACUUCACCUGCUGCUGCCUCCACCAGAAAGUAAUUAAAAAAAACAGAUGCUGAGGAAUUUGUUCUUGGGGCAUAGAACACUACUCUCCAGCAGUUGGAGUCAAGUCUCCCUUUUGAAGAAAUAUCUAUUCACAAUGAAAGUGGAGUCACCAGAAUUUCAGUCCCUUUUUACAGAAGGACUGAAGAACCUGACAGAGUUAUUCAAGAAGGAAAAUUAUGAAUUAAGAAUAGCAGGAGGAGCUGUGCGAGAUUUAUUAAAUGGAACAAAACCACAAGAUGUGGACUUUGCUACCACUGCUACUCCAGCUCAAAUGAAAGAGAUGUUCCAGGCUGCUGGGAUUCGUCUGAUCAAUAACAAAGGAGAAAAACAUGGAACUAUUACUGCCAGACUUCAUGAAGAAAAUUUUGAGAUCACGACACUAAGGAUUGAUGUCAUUACAGAUGGAAGGCAUGCAGAGGUGGAAUUCACAACUGACUGGCAGAAAGAUGCUGAGCGAAGAGAUCUCACCAUCAACUCAAUGUUUUUAGGUUUUGAUGGUACCCUUUAUGACUACUUUAAUGGCUAUGAAGAUUUGAAAAAUAAGAAUGUUAGAUUUGUAGGAAACCCUAAAGAGAGAAUUCAAGAGGAUUAUCUUCGAAUUUUGAGAUAUUUCAGGUUUUAUGGAAGAAUAGCAGAUAGACCUGGUGCCCAUGAUUCAAAGACUUUGGAAGCAAUUAAAGAAAAUGCGAAAGGUUUGGCUGGAAUUUCUGGAGAGAGGAUUUGGGUGGAACUGAAAAAAAUUCUUGUUGGUAACCAUGCAAAUCAUUUGGUUCAUCUUAUGUAUGAUCUUGAUGUGGCUCGUUACAUUGGUUUACCUGCUGCUGGGAAUUUAGAGGAAUUUAACAAAGUCAGCAAAAAUGUUGAAACUCUUUCUCCAAAGCCAAUGACUGUUUUGGCCUCAUUAUUCAAAGUACAGGAUGAUGUUAAAAACCUUGAUUUGAGAUUGAAGAUUGCAAAAGAAGAAAAAAAUCUUGGCUUGUUUAUAGUGAAAUAUAGGAAAGAUUUAACUAAAGCUGCUGAUAGUUCGGAACCACUGAAACCAUAUCAAGAUUUUGUUUUAGACUCUAGGGAACCUGAUAUACUUUCUCGAAUUUGUGAACUGCUCAAAUACCAAGGAGAGACGGGUCUUCUCAAGGAAAUGCAGCAGUGGUCUAUUCCUCCGUUUCCUGUCAGCGGCCAUGAUGUAAGAAAAGUCGGUAUUUCUUCAGGAAAAGAAAUUGGGUUAAUACUACAGCAGUUGCGAGAACAGUGGAAGAAGAGUGGCUACCAGAUGGAUAAGGAGGAACUUCUAAGUUUCAUAAAGAAGGCCUGAAAAUGAUUAAAGGGCUCUAGCUGGAUAAUCUCUAAGGCCCUUCCUGGCUUGCCAGCUCAAGAAACCUUUGAUAUGAAAUAAAAGGUUUGGGCCUAAGAAUCAACACCCUUGAUAAAAAGCCAUCAGAAGAAAAGACCAUUUUGGAGACUUAUGAAAAAAAGAUUGAAGAUUUUUAUAUUUUAAGUUUAUGCACAAAUCUCAAACCUACUUAAUGGGACUGUUCUGGUCAUUGAACAGAAGUGCCUACCAUUUGUUUCACAUUUUAAUGGAUUUUGUUCCAGAUGAGUUAUUUCCAUCCUCAGAAGUGACAAUCCUUAAAAAAACAGAAAAUUACUGGUUGAAAUAAAGAUUUCAGUGUUUCCAUUUGAACUAGAUGGCUGCUUUGUAGAAUAACCAGUUUUGCA
This is an RNA transcript of Trichosurus vulpecula (common brushtail), 1914 nucleotides long. It is a transcript of the gene named tRNA nucleotidyl transferase 1, with no coding region annotated. Lineage: Eukaryota; Metazoa; Chordata; Mammalia; Diprotodontia; Phalangeridae. The transcript has 10 exons. The record is from RefSeq and is a predicted model, not a curated record.